UAGAGUUUGAUCCUGGCUCAGGACGAACGCUGGCGGCGUGCCUAAUACAUGCAAGUCGAGCGGACUUGAUGGAGUGCUUGCACUNCUGAGAGUUAGCGGCGGACGGGUGAGUAACACGUAGGCAACCUGCCCUCNAGACUGGGAUAACUACCGGAAACGGUAGCUAAUACCGGAUAAUUUAUUUCNCAGCAUUGUGGAAUAAUGAAAGACGGAGCAAUCUGUCACUUGGGGAUGGGCCUGCGGCGCAUUAGCUAGUUGGUGGGGUAAUGGCUCACCAAGGCGACGAUGCGUAGCCGACCUGAGAGGGUGAACGGCCACACUGGGACUGAGACACGGCCCAGACUCCUACGGGAGGCAGCAGUAGGGAAUCUUCCGCAAUGGGCGAAAGCCUGACGGAGCAACGCCGCGUGAGUGAUGAAGGUUUUCGGAUCGUAAAGCUCUGUUGCCAAGGAAGAACGUCUUCUAGAGUAACUGCUAGGAGAGUGACGGUACUUGAGAAGAAAGCCCCGGCUAACUACGUGCCAGCAGCCGCGGUAAUACGUAGGGGGCAAGCGUUGUCCGGAAUUAUUGGGCGUAAAGCGCGCGCAGGCGGUUCUUUAAGUCUGGUGUUUAAACCCGAGGCUCAACUUC
Molecule: ribosomal RNA, 630 nt
Filed under: Paenibacillus sp. AS1.03
Lineage: Bacteria; Bacillati; Bacillota; Bacilli; Caryophanales; Paenibacillaceae
Description: bacterial SSU rRNA
Rfam family: Bacterial small subunit ribosomal RNA
Source: RNAcentral